Quercus lobata is the source of this 789-nucleotide long non-coding RNA. RefSeq lists it as uncharacterized. NCBI's taxonomy places the organism in Eukaryota, Viridiplantae, Streptophyta, Magnoliopsida, Fagales, Fagaceae. The transcript has 3 exons. The record is from RefSeq and is a predicted model, not a curated record.
AAUUAAAAAAACCCUACCAAUUUCUUUUCAUCAGACUGCUUAACAUUUUCUCUCUCUAAACCAAAAAAAAAAAAAACAAGCGAUGCUGCGAUACAGAGAAAGGGAAGGAUAAAAAAAAAAGAGGCUUGCAAUCCAGUGGAGAAUUGUGCGAUUAAACGUUUGUCUCAAAGGUAUUGAGAUAUGGAAAUAGGGAUCGGUCGUUAGGGUCGCCGCCCAUAUGUUCUGUUUUUAGUUUUAGAAAGUAGGGUUUUUGUCGGGAGAUUCAUUUGGGUAUUAUUUAUGAUUCAGGGAUUUGAGAUACGGAGAUAGAGGUCGGCGCAACUCUGUAGCCAAUGUAAUUGGAACUAAACACAGACCGAUGAAAGUGGGUAUUCUUUGCUUAGUGAUCCCCAGUACAACAAAGGACUUACCAAUGCUUUGGUCAUUCAGUUGACUCCUUACUACCAGUCUGUACUUAUUGUCAUGCUAGCAAAAACAGGGGUUUCAGCGGUUUUAACUAUUAUUGGAUUUGAACCAAUGACUUACUGCUUACUAUUCAAGGGGAGGCGGAGCGCUAACAAAGAGAAAGCAUUAUCACUAUUUGAAACUGUUUUCCAUCCUACCUGAUCUGCUGCUUUUGAAGAGUGAUUGAAAUUGUAAAACUUUGAAAUCUGAAAGUGUAAUGUAUUUUGUUGUUGUAACUUUAUAGUUGCUGGUGGGUGAAUUUUCAUUUAUAAAACAAUGAAUGUGAUUGCUAUUAAAUUGACAGAAAUUGCAUGUAAUUCAUUUAGUAGAUCACGUUUGGUUGGA